GGGGAUUUGGCUCAGUGGUAGAGCGCUUGCCUAGGAAGCGCAAGGUCCUGGGUUCAAUCCCCAGCCCCC
This 69-nucleotide transfer RNA is filed under the name Rattus norvegicus (Norway rat). It matches the Rfam family "tRNA". From Rfam's summary of the family: Transfer RNA (tRNA) molecules are approximately 80 nucleotides in length. Lineage: Eukaryota; Metazoa; Chordata; Mammalia; Rodentia; Muridae. The record is from Rfam by way of RNAcentral.